UACGGGAGGCAGCAGGGGGAAUAUUGGACAAUGGGCGAAAGCCUGAUCCAGCCAUGCCGCAUGAGUGAAGAAGGCCUUCGGGUUGUAAAGCUCUUUUAGUGAGAAAGAUAAUGACGGUACUCACAGAAGAAGUCCUGGCUAACUCCGUGCCAGCAGCCGCGGUAAUACGGAGAGGGCUAGCGUUAUUCGGAAUUAUUGGGCGUAAAGAGCGCGUAGGCUGAUUAGUAAGUUAAAAGUGAAAUCCCAAAGCUUAACUUUGGAAUUGCUUUUUAAAACUGCUAGUCUAGAGAUUGAAAGAGGAUAGAGGAAUUCCUAGUGUAGAGGUGAAAUUCGUAAAUAUUAGGAGGAACACCAGUGGCGAAGGCGUCUAUCUGGCUCAAAUCUGACGCUGAGGCGCGAAGGGCGUGGGGAGCAAACAGGGAUUAGAUACC
This 431-nucleotide ribosomal RNA is filed under the name uncultured bacterium. Its description in RNAcentral is "bacterial SSU rRNA". It matches the Rfam family "Bacterial small subunit ribosomal RNA", at positions 340 to 786 of the family's 1533-position model. The record is from RNAcentral.